Molecule: ribosomal RNA, 253 nt
Filed under: uncultured bacterium
Lineage: Bacteria
Description: partial 16S ribosomal RNA
Rfam family: Bacterial small subunit ribosomal RNA
Source: RNAcentral
UACGAAGGGGGCGAGCGUUGUUCGGAGUUACUGGGCGUAAAGGGCGCGUAGGCGGCGAUCCAAGUUAGGCGUGAAAGCCCCGGGCUUAACCUGGGAAUUGCGCUUAAGACUGGACUGCUUGAGUGCGGGAGAGGUGAGUGGAAUUCCCAGUGUAGAGGUGAGAUUCGUAGAUAUUGGGAAGAACACCAGUGGCGAAGGCGGCUCACUGGACUGGUACUGACGCUGAGGCGCGAAAGCGUGGGGAGCAAACAGG